This 681-nucleotide ribosomal RNA is filed under the name uncultured Bacteroidota bacterium. RNAcentral's name for it is "bacterial SSU rRNA". It matches the Rfam family "Bacterial small subunit ribosomal RNA", at positions 66 to 748 of the family's 1533-position model. The record is from RNAcentral. Lineage: Bacteria; Pseudomonadati; Bacteroidota.
GGGGUAUAGUUCUUCGGAAUUAGAGACCGGCGCACGGGUGCGUAACGCGUAUGCAAUCUACCUUUCACAGAGGGAUAGCCCAGAGAAAUUUGGAUUAAUACCUCAUAGUAUAUAGAGUUGGCAUCAACACUAUAUUAAAGUCACAACGGUGAAAGAUGAGCAUGCGUCCCAUUAGCUAGUUGGUAAGGUAACGGCUUACCAAGGCAACGAUGGGUAGGGGUCCUGAGAGGGAGAUCCCCCACACUGGUACUGAGACACGGACCAGACUCCUACGGGAGGCAGCAGUGAGGAAUAUUGGUCAAUGGGCGCAAGCCUGAACCAGCCAUGCCGCGUGCAGGAUGACGGUCCUAUGGAUUGUAAACUGCUUUUGUACGGGAAGAAACAACUCUACGUGUAGAGUCUUGACGGUACCGUAAGAAUAAGGAUCGGCUAACUCCGUGCCAGCAGCCGCGGUAAUACGGAGGAUCCAAGCGUUAUCCGGAAUCAUUGGGUUUAAAGGGUCCGUAGGCGGUUUAGUAAGUCAGUGGUGAAAGCCCAUCGCUCAACGGUGGAACGGCCAUUGAUACUGCUAGACUUGAAUUAUUAGGAAGUAACUAGAAUAUGUAGUGUAGCGGUGAAAUGCUUAGAGAUUACAUGGAAUACCAAUUGCGAAGGCAGGUUACUACUAAUGGAUUGACGCUG